UGGGGAAUAUUGCACAAUGGGCGCAAGCCUGAUGCAGCCAUGCCGCGUGUGUGAAGAAGGCCUUCGGGUUGUAAAGCACUUUCAGCGGGGAGGAAGGCGAUAAGGUUAAUAACCUUGUCGAUUGACGUUACCCGCAGAAGAAGCACCGGCUAACUCCGUGCCAGCAGCCGCGGUAAUACGGAGGGUGCAAGCGUUAAUCGGAAUUACUGGGCGUAAAGCGCACGCAGGCGGUCUGUCAAGUCGGAUGUGAAAUCCCCGGGCUCAACCUGGGAACUGCAUUCGAAUCUGGCAGGCUAGAGUCUUGUAGAGGGGGGUAGAAUUCCAGGUGUAGCGGUGAAAUGCGUAGAGAUCUGGAGGAAUACCGGUGGCGAAGGCGGCCCCCUGGACAAAGACUGACGCUCAGGUGCGAAAGCGUGGGGAGCAAACAGG
RNAcentral lists this ribosomal RNA (429 nucleotides) under Chloroflexota bacterium. RNAcentral describes it as "Chloroflexi bacterium partial 16S ribosomal RNA". It matches the Rfam family "Bacterial small subunit ribosomal RNA", at positions 355 to 776 of the family's 1533-position model. The record is from RNAcentral. Lineage: Bacteria; Bacillati; Chloroflexota.